AUUGAACGCUGGCGGAAUGCUUUACACAUGCAAGUCGAACGGCAGCACGGGGGCAACCCUGGUGGCGAGUGGCGAACGGGUGAGUAAUACAUCGGAACGUGCCCAGUCGUGGGGGAUAACGUAGCGAAAGCUACGCUAAUACCGCAUACGAUCUCUGGAUGAAAGCGGGGGACCGCAAGGCCUCGCGCGAUUGGAGCGGCCGAUGGCAGAUUAGGUAGUUGGUGGGGAAAGGCUCACCAAGCCGACGAUCGGUAGCUGGUCUGAGAGGACGAUCAG
This 276-nucleotide ribosomal RNA is filed under the name uncultured bacterium. RNAcentral describes it as "partial 16S ribosomal RNA". It matches the Rfam family "Bacterial small subunit ribosomal RNA", at positions 30 to 307 of the family's 1533-position model. The record is from RNAcentral.